RNAcentral lists this ribosomal RNA (425 nucleotides) under uncultured bacterium. RNAcentral describes it as "partial 16S ribosomal RNA". It matches the Rfam family "Bacterial small subunit ribosomal RNA", at positions 354 to 796 of the family's 1533-position model. The record is from RNAcentral.
GUCGGGAAUUUUGGGCAAUGGGCGAAAGCCUGACCCAGCAACGCCGCGUGAAGGAUGAAGUAUUUCGGUAUGUAAACUUCGUAAGAAUAGGAAGAAUAAAUGACGGUACUAUUUGUAAGGUCCGGCUAACUACGUGCCAGCAGCCGCGGUAAUACGUAGGGACCAAGCGUUGUUCGGAUUUACUGGGCGUAAAGGGCGCGUAGGCGGCGUGGUAAGUCAGCUGUGAAAUCUCCGAGCUUAACUCGGAACGGUCAGCUGAUACUGCUGUGCUAGAGUACAGAAAGGGCAAUCGGAAUUCUUGGUGUAGCGGUGAAAUGCGUAGAUAUCAAGAGGAACACCUGAGGCGAAGGCGGGUUGCUAGGCUGAUACUGACGCUGAGGCGCGAAAGCUAGGGUAGCAAACGGGAUUAGAAACCCUAGUAGUCC